UGUACUUGUCAUGCAGCGUCCUUUAUAACUCCUUUGGGCGAACACUAGGAUCUUCUUUUACCCAGUCCAUGACUUCCUCACACACCCAUGCCUUUGAAGCAUUAUGCUGCUCCUUUUUUCUUUGUACUAGCACAUGUGUGCUUCUCCAAAUGAACCUCGACCUGCAGUAAAUUGUAAUGGGUAAGAAAAUAGAGUCAACUCCAUUUAAUAACAGCUAGAGUAUGCAACUAACUAAAAUAUAUACCUCCAUAGUUUCUCCAUCAUCCAACCUCCCAACAUGAAUUCUCCAUGUGCAAUCUUUAGACUCGCGACAAUGAGCCCUGAAUCGUGUAGGCUCACUUUUGUCAACUUGAAAAUCAAACUCUUUCUUUAUGGCAUACAUAGCAAUUGCCAACCUAAACUCUUCAAUAUUAGGAUACUUUGCA
This 425-nucleotide long non-coding RNA is filed under the name Hordeum vulgare. RNAcentral describes it as "long non-coding RNA (HVUL_LNC021334)". The record is from RNAcentral. Lineage: Eukaryota; Viridiplantae; Streptophyta; Magnoliopsida; Poales; Poaceae.